RNAcentral lists this microRNA precursor (57 nucleotides) under Ancylostoma duodenale. RNAcentral describes it as "mir-255 microRNA precursor family". It matches the Rfam family "mir-255 microRNA precursor family". Lineage: Eukaryota; Metazoa; Nematoda; Chromadorea; Rhabditida; Ancylostomatidae. The record is from Rfam by way of RNAcentral.
GUAGGAAAUCUUGUCAAUUUUCCGCAAAACGCGCAAAACUGAAAAGAUUUUCUACAG